UCAUCUUGCGAUCCUUCCACGCCCACGCGCGAUCCUUCCCUUGGCGUAGAAAAAGAACCGUUGCCCCUUUUCCUUGGCAAGUCCGCACAUCGUGCCGCCCCUCCGCCGUCCUCGCCUUCCCCACCACGCCGUCGUCGCUCCCCCGUCAUCCACUCAUCCACUGCGCUGCCGCAAAAAGCGAUCCUCCUGCAUGCAUGCCGCUUCCCGCCGGAGCCGCUCGCCUCCCGCCAGAGCCGCUCUGCCUCCCUGCUCGCGCCGCGACGGAGAGGAAGGAUAGCUGGGGUCUGCUCACACCGCCACCAACGGAGAGGAAGUAUUUUGGUGUGUGGUUUAAGGAUUGUUGAUAUAACGAUUUCAUUUUGCCUAAUAGUGUUUGAUGAAAUUUUGUUCACGUUUUAUUAAUUAUUUUUCACUAAUGUGUCUGCAAAUACUUGAGUCAGGAUAAGAGGGAGGAUGCCAUAUUCAGCCUGGGUGCUCUCUGAAGAUGCAUAACCGUGUGAUGUCUAUAAAUUUCUUCUAGUGCCUGUUGUUGCAGGGUUUAUUUCUCUAUCUGUUUAGUUCUGCUUAUUCAUCAAUAUAAUCAAAGCUUCUGCUUAUUACUAUAGUUUUGUCAUGACUGAAUUCUUUACUAAUCAUGAGGCGCUACACUUUAUACUACCUAAAUUGAUUGGAAGAAUAUGCCUUCAAUGGAAUAAGUGGGACUAUACUUAAUCAUCCAGUUGUAUUACUGCCAAAACCCUAUUCCUUAAUCAUCCAGUUGUACAUAAAUGUUAGAUGCACAGGUUGCAUAUAUAACCCUAUUCCAUAAUCACCCAGUUGUACAUCUAUAUGUUCGUGCUUCAUACCAGCCUUCUGCCUUCAAUACCAUUAACAAUAUGUAUACUUAUGAUUUUUUCCCCGCUAACCAUGGCUGCUAGGAGAUCUUCCCUGUUGUGCUUCCUAAGGCCGUGCCCACCAUGCAAGGAGCAGAGCAAUGAUUACUGCGUUGAUAAGAUUGACUGAUUGAGAGGGUCAUGCUGAAGUGAUAGAUAUAACUGUGAUUGCAAGGAUGCUAAGAGACCAUGGCAAGCCCAAGGGAUGUAAGGAUGCCAACGCGAAACCAUGGCAAGCCCAAGGGCACAGCUAUCACGGCAGAAGGGGGUGGGCAGUGUUGAUGUUAGAAUAGAGCAGAGCUAUCAGGGAUGUGGAGCAGGUAAUCUCAGCGUACAAUAGACUAAUAAUUUUUGGGGCAAGAGAAAUGCAAAUCUCAGAUUGAUUAUAAUGGAAUGGGAGCAAAAGCAAAGAUAGUACCAGAUCCAACUCUCCUUUCCAGGAAGGUCAGAAGGUGAAUGAUGAACUGAUGAUGCUAUCUGAAGGUGAGUGACGAUGCUGUCUGAAGGUCAGAAGGUGAGUGAUUGCAAUUCUUGCAAGGGAAAAUACAUUGCUCCAUGAGUGUGACUCCUCUAGAGGUAUAUGAUGGAAUCUCAUUUCUACGGCAACCUUAAGUGCUAUGUGUCUGUUGGAGGAGAGGGAAUGCUGAUGAAACCUGAAGUUAUUAGACGACAGGUCCAUCAAACAUAUAUAUCAAGCAAGACAAAUGAUUCAAGUGAUAAUUCAAGAUUUAUGCUGCUGAAACAGGAGGUAGCUGCACUGGUGAUGCCUACAAGAGAGCUCACUGCGACAAGCUUCAUCAAUCCAAUUCUGAAGGUUGACCAGAACAAGCACAAGAUUGAUGAAAAAAGAUGCAAGAGCAGCAUUCGAAGCGUUCCAUUCUAGGAACGGAAGCAGCAGAGGAUGACUCGUUGAUGAAGUCAUACAUGCUGCUGUUGUCAGCGAACGCCGACUCCGGCAACUUGACAAGGUGAGAGGAAGUGAUGGCGCAGCUGCACAAGUUUAGCCUGUCGUAACAAUUGAUUAUGCUAUGCAUAUAUGGCCGUCUAAGGGGCAUCGAUUUGCACAUAUUUGGUUGUCUGGCAAGAGUGUACAAUGACAAGACUUCUCCGAAGAUUAUGUUUGGUCAAAAAAUGUGAUUGCUUGUUUGGUUGUAUCUUAGGUGUAGAUAUCUAUGAAUGAUUUUUGUGUUUUCCAUACAAUCUGAUUAUUUUCUAAUUGUAAGAUUUCUAUAAUUCGCU
Oryza sativa Japonica Group (Japanese rice) is the source of this 2111-nucleotide non-coding RNA. The record is from RefSeq and is a predicted model, not a curated record. Lineage: Eukaryota; Viridiplantae; Streptophyta; Magnoliopsida; Poales; Poaceae.